GACGUAGGGCGCGAGCGUUGUCCGGAUUUAUUGGGCGUAAAGAGCUCGUAGGCGGCUUGUUGCGUCAGCUGUGAAAACCCGCAGCUCAACUGUGGGCUUGCAGCUGAUACGGGCAGGCUUGAGUUCGGUAGGGGAGACUGGAAUUCCUGGUGUAGCGGUGAAAUGCGUAGAUAUUGGGAGGAAUACCAGUGGCGAAGGCGGCUCCCUGGACCGGUACCGACGCUGAGGUGCGAAAGCGUGGGGAGCAAACAGG
RNAcentral lists this ribosomal RNA (253 nucleotides) under uncultured bacterium. RNAcentral describes it as "partial 16S ribosomal RNA". It matches the Rfam family "Bacterial small subunit ribosomal RNA", at positions 524 to 776 of the family's 1533-position model. The record is from RNAcentral.